This 253-nucleotide ribosomal RNA is filed under the name uncultured bacterium. Its description in RNAcentral is "partial 16S ribosomal RNA". It matches the Rfam family "Bacterial small subunit ribosomal RNA", at positions 524 to 776 of the family's 1533-position model. The record is from RNAcentral.
UACGUAGGGUGCAAGCGUUGUCCGGAAUUAUUGGGCGUAAAGAGCUCGUAGGCGGUUUGUCGCGUCUGCUGUGAAAACUCGGGGCUUAACCCCGGGCCUGCAGUGGGUACGGGCAGACUAGAGUGCGGUAGGGGAGACUGGAAUUCCUGGUGUAGCGGUGAAAUGCGCAGAUAUCAGGAGGAACACCGGUGGCGAAGGCGGGUCUCUGGACCACAACUGACGCUGAGGCGCGAAAGCUAGGGGAGCAAACAGG